This 541-nucleotide long non-coding RNA is filed under the name Cottoperca gobio. RNAcentral describes it as "lncRNA (ENSCGOG00000001183.1)". The record is from RNAcentral. Lineage: Eukaryota; Metazoa; Chordata; Actinopteri; Perciformes; Bovichtidae.
AAUGUAUCCAGUAUGGAGGCAGAAAGAUGGAGAGAGCAGACAAAGAGCUCACAGUAAUCUGUGAUCUGUCCUGCCACACCCUGACCUACAAAGUAGGACAGGAUUCUUUGAAGCUGUUGGUCACCCAACUCACCCAGAUCUGGAGCUGAGGAGGUCCAUGGAGGAGACGAGGGAGGCCUGGAGCCCUCUGGAGGAGCAGGUGCUGCUACCGGGGACACCGAGGGAGGUGGAGGGGACUCCCGUGUGUGCAGUGCCUCCUCCAAGGGCGUGGUGUGCAUGGAGGGACCUGGGCAGACUGGCAAAACGCCCCUCUGCCAUCAUCCUCAACUCUGUAAGUGUGGACCUCUUCUCCUUUUCCCGAUCUUUGCUCUUGUUUACCUUUCAGUUUUAUAAACUUCUAUCCAAAGUAAUCCCUUUCAUAGUUUGUUAGAAUGACUGAGCUGUUGACUCGCUGACCGGCUGAAAGAACAUAAACUCACGCUCCUUCAGACAGGCAACAACAAGUAGCGCUGCACAAUCAGAAGCCCUGCCCUCCUCUUUC